This 253-nucleotide ribosomal RNA is filed under the name uncultured bacterium. RNAcentral describes it as "partial 16S ribosomal RNA". It matches the Rfam family "Bacterial small subunit ribosomal RNA", at positions 524 to 776 of the family's 1533-position model. The record is from RNAcentral.
UACAGAGGUCUCAAGCGUUGUUCGGAUUCAUUGGGCGUAAAGGGUGCGUAGGCGGGCAGGUAAGUCAGAGGUGAAAUCUCCGGGCUUAACCCGGAAGCUGCCUUUGAUACUAUCUGUCUUGAAUAUGGUGGAGGUAAGCGGAAUAUGUCAUGUAGCGGUGAAAUGCUUAGAGAUGACAUAGAACACCCAUUGCGAAGGCAGCUUACUACGCCUAUAUUGACGCUGAGGCACGAAAGCGUGGGGAUCAAACAGG